UGGCUCAGAGAUUUAAGAGCACUGGACUGCUCUUCCAGAAGUCCUGAGUUCAAUUCCCAG
Molecule: transfer RNA, 60 nt
Filed under: Cricetulus griseus (Chinese hamster)
Lineage: Eukaryota; Metazoa; Chordata; Mammalia; Rodentia; Cricetidae
Rfam family: tRNA
About the family: Transfer RNA (tRNA) molecules are approximately 80 nucleotides in length.
Source: Rfam by way of RNAcentral